Molecule: ribosomal RNA, 460 nt
Filed under: uncultured bacterium
Lineage: Bacteria
Description: partial 16S ribosomal RNA
Rfam family: Bacterial small subunit ribosomal RNA
Source: RNAcentral
CCUACGGGAGGCAGCAGUGAGGAAUAUUGGUCAAUGGGCGCGAGCCUGAACCAGCCCAGUCGCGUGAGGGAAGACGGUCCUAUGGAUUGUAAACCUCUUUUGUCGGGGAGCAAAAGACGCCACGCGUGGCGUUCCGAGAGUACCCGACGAAUAAGCAUCGGCUAACUCCGUGCCAGCAGCCGCGGUAAUACGUAGGUGGCGAGCGUUAUCCGGAAUGAUUGGGCGUAAGGGGUGCGCAGGCGGUCCUGCAAGUCUGGAGUGAAACGCAUGAGCUCAACUCAUGCAUUGCUUUUGAUACUGGAGGACUGGAGAGCAGGAGAGGGCGGUGGAACUCCAGGUGUAGCGGUAAAAUGCGUAGAUAUAUGGAAGAACACCAGGGGCGAAGGCGGCCGCCUGGCCUGUUGCGGACGCUGAGGCACGAAAGCGUGGGGAGCAAAUAGGAUUAGAUACCCCAGUAGUC